GACGAACGCUGGCGGCGUGCUUAACACAUGCAAGUCGAACGGUAAGGCCCUUCGGGGUACACGAGCGGCGAACGGGUGAGUAACACGUGGGUGAUCUGCCCUGCACUUCGGGAUAAGCCUGGGAAACUGGGUCUAAUACCGGAUAGGACCACUGCCUGCAUGGGUGGUGGUGGAAAGCUUUUGCGGUGUGGGAUGGGCCCGCGGCCUAUCAGCUGGUUGGUGGGGUGAUGGCCUACCAAGGCGACGACGGGUAGCCGGCCUGAGAGGGUGACCGGCCACACUGGGACUGAGUUACGGCCCAGAAUACUACGGGAGGCAGCAGUGGGGAAUAUAGCACAAUGGGCGCAAGCCUGGUGCAGCGACGCCGCGUGAGGGAUGACGGCCUUCGGGUUGUAAACCUCUUUCAGCACCGACGAAGCGCAAGUGACGGUAGGUGCAGAAGAAGGACCGGCCAACUACGUGCCAGCCGCCGCGGUAA
This 478-nucleotide ribosomal RNA is filed under the name uncultured bacterium. Its description in RNAcentral is "partial 16S ribosomal RNA". It matches the Rfam family "Bacterial small subunit ribosomal RNA", at positions 28 to 523 of the family's 1533-position model. The record is from RNAcentral.